This 460-nucleotide ribosomal RNA is filed under the name uncultured bacterium. Its description in RNAcentral is "partial 16S ribosomal RNA". It matches the Rfam family "Bacterial small subunit ribosomal RNA", at positions 338 to 795 of the family's 1533-position model. The record is from RNAcentral.
CCUACGGGGGGCAGCAGUGAGGAAUAUUGGUCAAUGGACGCAAGUCUGAACCAGCCAAGUAGCGUGCAGGAUGACUGCCCUAUGGGUUGUAAACUUCUUUUAUACAGGAAUAAAACGAGGCACGUGUGCCUUUUUGCAUGUACUUUAUGAAUAAGGAUCGGCUAACUCCGUGCCAGCAGCCGCGGUAAUACGGAGGAUCCGAGCGUUAUCCGGAUUUAUUGGGUUUAAAGGGAGCGUAGAUGGGUUGUUAAGUCAGUUGUGAAAGCUUGCGGCUCAACCGUAAAAUUGCAAUUGAUACUGGCAGGCUAGAGUAUAGUUGAGGUAGGCGGAAUGCGUGGUGUAGCGGUGAAAUGCUUAGAUAUCACGAAGAACCCCGAUUGCGAAGGCAGCUUACUAAACUGUGACUGACAUUGAUGCACGAAAGCGUGGGUAUCAAACAGGAUUAGAUACCCGGGUAGUC